This 324-nucleotide ribosomal RNA is filed under the name uncultured Chloroflexota bacterium. RNAcentral's name for it is "bacterial SSU rRNA". It matches the Rfam family "Bacterial small subunit ribosomal RNA", at positions 28 to 351 of the family's 1533-position model. The record is from RNAcentral. Lineage: Bacteria; Bacillati; Chloroflexota.
GAUGAACGUUGGCGGUGCGCUUUAUGCAUGCAAGUCGUACGGAACCAUGGUUCUCGGAUCACGGUUCAGUGGCGGACGGCUGAGUAACACGUGGGUAACCUACCCGUGAGCGGGGGAUAACUUACCGAAAGGUACGCUAAUACCGCAUGGUGUGUGACUGCUCAAGCAGUUUCACUAAAGCCGUAAGGCACUCACGGAUGGGCCUGCGGCCGAUCAGCUAGUUGGUGAGGUAACGGCCCACCAAGGCUAUGAUCGGUAGCUGGUCUGAGAGGAUGUCCAGCCAGAUGGGGACUGAGACACGGCCCCAACUCCUACGGGUGGCAG